Molecule: ribosomal RNA, 81 nt
Filed under: uncultured Gemella sp.
Lineage: Bacteria; Bacillati; Bacillota; Bacilli; Caryophanales; Gemellaceae
Description: partial 16S ribosomal RNA
Source: RNAcentral
AAGUCUUGACAUACUGUGAGGACACAAGAGAUUGUGUUGUUCUGACCUUUGGUUAGACACAGAUACAGGUGGUGCAUGGUU